Molecule: long non-coding RNA, 555 nt
Organism: Pieris brassicae (large cabbage white)
Lineage: Eukaryota; Metazoa; Arthropoda; Insecta; Lepidoptera; Pieridae
Exons: 3
Source: RefSeq, a predicted model, not a curated record
UAUUAUGAAGUUACCUUUUCAUACAAUUUUAUCACCUUUCCUAAAACCAUAUUUCAGACACACCAGGUUGUUUUGCCAGCACCCGACAUUCUCAGCUAGUAUUUUGUAUACAUACUUCUAUGGGGUUCUUGGUUUGAUUGUCAGCAUCCAUGAUUUAAAAAAGCACUUUGGAGAGAUACAGGUUGAUGGAAAACUGACUCUCAAUUUUCGCGAUGCGAUGAUCGUUCAUGACAUAAAAGUCAUAGUUUCAUCUAUUGGAUUGGUCCAGUACUUGUGCCUUUUAAUGGGAUGCUUUACCGAAAACCCUGGACUACUUCUUCCUCACUUGGCUGGCCAACUUAUAGCAGUGUCCCUUAAAAUAGCCAAUGUAUUUUUAUUUCUGAAACAAAUGAAGUUGCGGUCGUUCGGUAUUCUGGGUAAUAAAUUGACUGCCAUCUUCGUUAUGACUUUUAACUGGCUUCAAGAGUUUUGUGUUUUCAGGCAGUAUUUAUGUAUCUGCGAUCUUUGAAAAUGUUGAACUAACCAGGAAAAAAUGCAAAUAUACAGUUAAUUAAA